GUGCUCGCUUCGGCAGCACGUGUACUAAAAUUGGAACGAUACAGAGAAGAUUAGCAUGGGCCCUGCGCAAGGAUGACGCGCAAAUUCAUGAAGCGUUCCACGUUUUU
Molecule: small nuclear RNA, 107 nt
Organism: Otolemur garnettii (small-eared galago)
Lineage: Eukaryota; Metazoa; Chordata; Mammalia; Primates; Galagidae
Source: Ensembl